GUGCCAGCAGCCGCGGUAACACGUAGGAUUCAAGCGUUAUCCGAAUUUACUGGGCGUAAAGCGCAUGCAGGCGGUUUGGUAAGUUGGAUGUGAAAGCUCCUGGCUCAACUGGGAGAGGCCGUUCAAAACUACCAGACUUGAGGACAGUAGAGGAAGAUGGAAUUCCCGGUGUAGUAGUGAAAUGCGUAGAUAUCGGGAGGAACACCAGUGGCGAAGGCGGUCUUCUGGACUGUUUCUGACGCUCAGAUGCGAAAGCUAGGGUAGCGAAUGGGAUUAGAAACCCGGGUAGUCC
RNAcentral lists this ribosomal RNA (292 nucleotides) under uncultured bacterium. RNAcentral's name for it is "partial 16S ribosomal RNA". It matches the Rfam family "Bacterial small subunit ribosomal RNA", at positions 505 to 796 of the family's 1533-position model. The record is from RNAcentral.